RNAcentral lists this ribosomal RNA (262 nucleotides) under uncultured bacterium. Its description in RNAcentral is "partial 16S ribosomal RNA". It matches the Rfam family "Bacterial small subunit ribosomal RNA", at positions 524 to 776 of the family's 1533-position model. The record is from RNAcentral.
UACGGGGGGGAGCAAGCGUUGUUCGGAUUUACUGGGCGUAAAGGGCGCGUAGGCGGUCGUGACAAGUCACUUGUGAAAUCUCCGGGCUUAACUCGGAACGGUCAAGUGAUACUGUCGGACUAGAGUACAGAAGGGGCAACUGGAAUUCUCGGUGUAGCGGUGAAAUGCGUAGAUAUCGAGAGGAACACCGUGGCGGCGAAAGGGCGGGGUUCUCUGGGGCCGUAUACUGACGCUGAGGACGAAAGCGUGGGGAGCGAACAGG